GUGCCAGCCGCCGCGGUAAUACGUAGGUGGCAAGCGUUGUCCGAAAUCACUGGGCGUAAAGCGCGCGCAGGCGGCGAUCUACGUCUGGGGUGAAAGCCCGGAGCUCAACUCCGGGACUGCCUUGGAUACGGGAUCGCUUGAGGAUUGGAGAGGCAAGGGGAAUUCCACGUGUAGCGGUGAAAUGCGUAGAUAUGUGGAGGAACACCUGUGGCGAAGGCGCCUUGCUGGCCAAUUUCUGACGCUGAGGCGCGAAAGCGUGGGGAGCAAACAGGAUUAGAUACCCUGGUAGUCCACGCCGUAAACGAUGAGUGCUAGGUGUUGGGGGGUACCACCCUCAGUGCCGAAGCUAACGCAUUAAGCACUCCGCCUGGGGAGUACGGUCGCAAGACUGAA
RNAcentral lists this ribosomal RNA (393 nucleotides) under uncultured bacterium. Its description in RNAcentral is "bacterial SSU rRNA". It matches the Rfam family "Bacterial small subunit ribosomal RNA", at positions 505 to 898 of the family's 1533-position model. The record is from RNAcentral.